UGCCCUAGUAACGGCGAGUGAAGCGGCAACAGCUCAAAUUUGAAAUCUGGCUCUCGGGCCCGAGUUGUAAUUUGUAGAGGAUGACUUUGAUGCGGUGCCUUCCGAGUUCCCUGGAACGGGACGCCAUAGAGGGUGAGAGCCCCGUCUGGUUGGAUGCCAAAUCUCUGUAAGUCUCCUUCGACGAGUCGAGUAGUUUGGGAAUGCUGCUCUAAAUGGGAGGUAUAUGUCUUCUAAAGCUAAAUACCGGCCAGAGACCGAUAGCGCACAAGUAGAGUGAUCGAAAGAUGAAAAGCACUUUGAAAAGAGAGUUAAAAAGUACGUGAAAUUGUUGAAAGGGAAGCGUUUAUGACCAGACUUGGGCUUGGUUAAUCAUCUGGGGUUCUCCCCAGUGCACUUUUCCAGUUCAGGCCAGCAUCAGUUUUCGCCGGGGGAUAAAGACUUCGGGAAUGUGGCUCCUCUCGGGGAGUGUUAUAGCCCGUUGUGUAAUACCCUGGCGGGGACUGAGGUUCGCGCUUCUGCAAGGAUGCUGGCGUAAUGGUCAUCAACGACCCGUCUUGAAACACGGACCAAGGAGUCGUCUUCGUAUGCGAGUGUUCGGGUGUCAAACCCCUACGCGUAAUGAAAGUGAACGCAGGUGAGAGCUUCGGCGCAUCAUCGACCGAUCCUGAUGUUCUCGGAUGGAUUUGAGUAAGAGCAUACGGGGCCGGACCCGAAAGAAGGUGAACUAUGCCUGUGUAGGGUGAAGCCAGAGGAAACUCUGGUGGAGGCUCGCAGCGGUUCUGACGUGCAAAUCGAUCGUCAAACAUGGGCAUG
This 813-nucleotide ribosomal RNA is filed under the name Fusarium sporotrichioides. RNAcentral describes it as "eukaryotic LSU rRNA". It matches the Rfam family "Eukaryotic large subunit ribosomal RNA", at positions 76 to 919 of the family's 3401-position model. Lineage: Eukaryota; Fungi; Ascomycota; Sordariomycetes; Hypocreales; Nectriaceae. The record is from RNAcentral.